UAGGGAAUCUUCGGCAAUGGACGGAAGUCUGACCGAGCAACGCCGCGUGAGUGAAGAAGGUUUUCGGAUCGUAAAGCUCUGUUGUAAGAGAAGAACGAGUGUGAGAGUGGAAAGUUCACACUGUGACGGUAUCUUACCAGAAAGGGACGGCUAACUACGUGCCAGCAGCCGCGGUAAUACGUAGGUCCCGAGCGUUGUCCGGAUUUAUUGGGCGUAAAGCGAGCGCAGGCGGUUAGAUAAGUCUGAAGUUAAAGGCUGUGGCUUAACCAUAGUAGGCUUUGGAAACUGUUUAACUUGAGUGCAAGAGGGGAGAGUGGAAUUCCAUGUGUAGCGGUGAAAUGCGUAGAUAUAUGGAGGAACACCGGUGGCGAAAGCGGCUCUCUGGCUUGUAACUGACGCUGAGGCUCGAAAGCGUGGGGAGCAAACAGGAUUAGAUACCCUGGUAGUCCACGCUGUAAACGAUGAGUGCUAGGUGUUAGACCCUUUCCAGGGUUUAGUGCCGUAGCUAACGCAUUAAGCACUCCGCCUGGGGAGUACGACCGCAAGGUUG
This 550-nucleotide ribosomal RNA is filed under the name uncultured bacterium. Its description in RNAcentral is "bacterial SSU rRNA". It matches the Rfam family "Bacterial small subunit ribosomal RNA", at positions 355 to 896 of the family's 1533-position model. The record is from RNAcentral.